GUCGAGCGAAGCGCUUAAAAUGGAAUCUUCGGAUGAAGAUUUAUGUGACUGAGCGGCGGACGGGUGAGUAACGCGUGGGCAACCUGCCUUACACAGGGGGAUAACAGUUAGAAAUGACUGCUAAUACCGCAUAAGACCACAGGACUGCAUGGUCCGGUGGUAAAAACUCCGGUGGUGUAAGAUGGGCCCGCGUCUGAUUAGGUAGUUGGCGGGGUAACGGCCCACCAAGCCGACGAUCAGUAGCCGACCUGAGAGGGUGACCGGCCACAUUGGGACUGAGACACGGCCCAGACUCCUACGGGAGGCAGCAGUGGGGAAUAUUGCACAAUGGGGGAAACCCUGAUGCAGCGACGCCGCGUGAGCGAUGAAGUAUUUCGGUAUGUAAAGCUCUAUCAGCAGGGAAGAAAAUGACGGUACCUGACUAAGAAGCCCCGGCUAACUACGUGCCAGCAGCCGCGGUAAUACGUAGGGGGCAAGCGUUAUCCGGAUUUACUGGGUGUAAAGGGAGCGUAGACGGCGGUGCAAGCCAGAUGUGAAAGCCCGGGGCUCAACCCCGGGACUGCAUUUGGAACUGUGCUGCUAGAGUGUCGGAGAGGCAGGCGGAAUUCCUAGUGUAGCGGUGAAAUGCGUAGAUAUUAGGAGGAACACCAGUGGC
Molecule: ribosomal RNA, 655 nt
Filed under: uncultured bacterium
Lineage: Bacteria
Description: bacterial SSU rRNA
Rfam family: Bacterial small subunit ribosomal RNA
Source: RNAcentral